AGGACGAACGCUGGCGGCGUGCUUAACACAUGCAAGUCGAGCGGAAAGGCCCUUCGGGGUACUCGAGCGGCGAACGGGUGAGUAACACGUGAGCAACCUGCCCCUGGCUCUGGGAUAGCCGGUCCGGAAACGGGGAUUAAUACCGGACAUGACCCUUGACCGCAUGGUUGGGGGUGGAAAGUUUUUCGGCCAGGGUGGGGCUCGCGGCCUAUCAGCUUGUUGGGGGGGUGACGGCCCACCAAGGCGACGACGGGUAGCC
This 259-nucleotide ribosomal RNA is filed under the name uncultured bacterium. RNAcentral describes it as "partial small subunit ribosomal RNA". It matches the Rfam family "Bacterial small subunit ribosomal RNA", at positions 26 to 288 of the family's 1533-position model. The record is from RNAcentral.